Molecule: transfer RNA, 74 nt
Filed under: Felis catus (domestic cat)
Lineage: Eukaryota; Metazoa; Chordata; Mammalia; Carnivora; Felidae
Rfam family: tRNA
About the family: Transfer RNA (tRNA) molecules are approximately 80 nucleotides in length.
Source: Rfam by way of RNAcentral
GCCGGUCUGGCUCAGUUGGUAGAGCAUGUGACUCUUGAUCUUUGGGGUUGUGGGUUCAAGCCCCACGUUGGGUU